Long non-coding RNA from Catharus ustulatus (Swainson's thrush), 851 nucleotides. RefSeq lists it as uncharacterized. Lineage: Eukaryota; Metazoa; Chordata; Aves; Passeriformes; Turdidae. The record is from RefSeq and is a predicted model, not a curated record. The transcript has 2 exons.
CAUGCUUUUCUAUGAGGUGUUGAAGGUCAGUUGUUUUACAACUUCAGAAGGAAGAAAAGAAAACAGGCUGAUGGUGACACUCCUUUCAGCAAGAUUUGGUAUUUAUUUAAACAAUUGAUUCAGCAGGGGUUUUUUGUAUUAAUGCUGCUCUUUUGGUUGUGUUUGCUUUUCUGAGCAUUUGACUAAUCGUCAGUGUUUCUCACAAAGUAGGAGUGUUUUUCAGAAAAAGCAAGCAAUUGUGGUAUAAAGCAAGAAUAGCCUCAAAAAGCAGUUUUGGGGCUUUUUUGGAUUUGGCUUUGAUUUUGUUUGGUUUUGUUACCCAAAACUAUUUAACUUUACUACUGUAUGUUUUAAAGUUUUCUCCAAAAACCUGGAAUUAAUUUCCCUUUUCUGCCCCAUUGAUAGGCACUGUUUCUCUUAGACAAGCUUCUACCCUCCACUGUUUUGAAGCAGUGCUCCAGUUUAGCCUGCAGUGAUGGCUCUUGCAUCCUUUUCCAUUCAGCUCCUGCGUACGGUGAAAACUGAGUGUGUACACACGUGAGAAAUGGCUGCUUUUCUCCAGGCAAGCACGUGAAUUUCAGAACUCUAAGAAAUAAAGUCCUGACCUACCUGUAGUGAUUUGGGUGUCAGGAGGCACCUGGGAGCCUCCUUUGGUGUCCUGGGUGUGGCCGUGGCUGUAAAAGGAUGGAGCAGGGGGGAGAGGAGCAGUGAUUGGGAGCGAUGGUUCCUUGGGGAUUUGCAUCUGGAAACAGCCAUCCUUUUCCCCAUGGGAGUCCUGGAAACAGCACUGAGCAAUGAGGAUACUGCAGCUGGAGCGCUGGCAAUGGAGCGUCUGCAGGGAAUAUUGCCUG